AAUAAGAGAAUGACAAAUCAGAUUUUUCCUUCUGAUUUUUAAUAUUUUUAGUUGAACUUGAAUAUUUUCAGGAGGAAAAAUCUGAUUUGUCAUUCUCUUAUU
Molecule: microRNA precursor, 102 nt
Filed under: Gossypium hirsutum (cotton)
Lineage: Eukaryota; Viridiplantae; Streptophyta; Magnoliopsida; Malvales; Malvaceae
Description: MIR7504 microRNA precursor family
Source: Rfam by way of RNAcentral